UUGACAAUCACUGUCAAAUUGCUAAUUUUUUAAAUAUCUUACACUAAAUUCGCUUAAGUAAAAGACAUGUCUGUGCCACUGAAGCAAGACGCUUGCCCUUCGCACAUGCUUUCAUUGCUAAUUACUUGCGCGAGCGAUAACAGUUUAAUGCUAAUUCUGGAAAAUGCCAACAGUGACCACUGGAUGGCAUGCGUAAAAGCCGAAGCGAACGUUAGUUGGGUCCGGAUUAUUACUAAGGAAGCCCAAGACAUAUUGGGGGUUAAAACGAACGUUAAGCUGCUACGAGUGAACAAGAUAUGGCUACCCAGGAAAGAAGGGAGUGUGAUACUGUGGCACUGCGUCUUCUUUGUAAAUAUUGAUACAAAUGCAAAAAAUAAGACUAAAAACAGCAUGGGAAAGUACAGGGGUAAAAUAAGGUGGGUAGGAGAGUGUGAGCUGACCGGCUUACUGCAGAGCAACAGUCUCAGGUCUCCAGAAAUCUUGGAACUGUAUCAACUUACCAAAGACACUGACGUCGCCAGUUUAGCUAUUGACUUACCGGAAGAGAUAAUCACUAGUAAGAAUAUCUCCGAAAUAACAGAUGAAAUACUGGUUUCUGGAAAAAGCACCAAUUACCAGCAGCUGAUCGAUGGCUCAGGAAUCGACAAACUUGCGCAGGAAGAGAUUUACAGGACGAUCUUUGUAAAUUACUGCUUUCCCGCCUGCUACAUGAACCUGCGCGCCUUCACCAAGAUCAUUCCCGAAUUAGGGUGGCCCAAGGCCCAAGUCCCCUUCUUGUUUAGGGCGGCGGAUCUUAAUAACCGAUUCGGGCUGUCGUUUAGGGAAUUUCUUUAUUUUUUGGCGGCCGUUGACCCUAAUACUGGCCAUGGGGGUACUGCUGCCGAGCUUAGAUGUCGGUACAUGUUUAAAUACUACGACAGGGACAAGGAUAACGCGUUAAAAAACGAAGAAUUCAAAAACCUCAUAUUGGACCUAAGAAAGUCGAAAAAACUGCCGGUAGAUCCGCCGAACGUCGGCAAAGAAACGAUUGAAACGUACAAAGCGAUGGGAAUCCCCGAGACCCAAUACAUCAACGUCAACGACUUUUUGAGGGCCGUCUGCGACCUGAAAAUCCGCGGGACCUCGCACAUUUUUCGCUCCUCCACGGGCAUCAUGAAGCACCUUAAGGCUGUGAGUGACAAACAAUCCUUAGUGGAGUCCGCUAAUACCAAAGCUCCCAGCGCCAUCUUGUAUAGCAUGCCGGCGGAGAAUCCCAGAGGAAAAAUGACCCUGAGGAAUUUGGACUACGAGAUCGCCAUUCAUACCGUGAAAAUCCAAAGGAGCGGGGAGGCCAUUAACAUCGACGAAAUGAAGGAGAUCCAGGAAGCAGUAUCUGCGACGACCCUUAAACAGCCGGCAAACGAGCAUUCGAAACGUUUGUCUUUGGACGUGUUCAGUCAACGUUCCGUACCCAAUGAAAUUCUGAAAGGGUUAAGGUAUUUGACUUCAAUUAACAACAUAAAAGACACGAAGACUUCGUAUACGUGGGGACAACUGGAUCCCGCGGUAUUCGGCAGGAAUCUGAUCCAGGUGUGCAACCAGGUGCGGGAGAUUUUUAAGAACGAGCCGAGGCUCCUGGAGCUGAACUCCCCCAUGUACAUUAUGGGUGACUUACACGGCAACGUGAACGACUUACUAUGCUUCGAAAGAACCCUUUGGCACAUUGGCCCCAAUUUGAGCCCCUGCAACUUACUUUUCCUGGGCGAUUACGUGGAUCGUGGGUCAUUUAGCAUAGAGACGAUAUCGUAUUUGCUCUCUUACAAGUUACAAAGCCCCACUAAGAUCAAUUUGGUGCGCGGGAACCACGAGAUUAGGGAGGUGCAAAAGAUGUUCACUUUUUACAAAGAGUGUAUACUGAAACUGGGUGAGAAAAUGGGAAAUGAAGUGUGGAACGCGGUAAAUAACGCCUUUGAUACCAUGCCUGUCGCAGCAGUGGUGGACGGCAAGAUUUUUUGUUGCCACGGUGGCGUACCGCCCCCGUGGCUUUGCCCAAUAAUGACCGCCAUAAACGACAUUCCAGUGGUCCUCAGUCAACCGGACACACAAAGUUCCUUGGCCUGGGAACUCAUGUGGAACGACCCGGUGAGGCCGAAAACCGUAAAUGACAAACUGGCCAUGGAACUAUUGGCCAAUGAGGGUUUCGCAGUUAACACCCGUCGUGGUACCGCUCAUAUCUUCAGCGUGGAGGCUCUGGAGCGGUUUUUGAAGGCGAAUCAGCUGACGCACUUGGUGAGGGCCCACGAGGUGGCGCAGGCCGGAUUUCAGGUGCAACAAAAGGGGCGACUUUUGACGGUGUUUUCGUCGUCCAAGUAUUGCGGCGGUAAUAACGAUGCCGCCUGCGUUAUGGCCGAUCAGGGCAAGUUGAGGAUAUUGAGGCUAGAAACCGAUUAGAAAAUCAGUAGUAGUACCGUGUAAACGUUGUCAAAAUAUUAAGUUCCUGGUAAAAGCUUGUGGUGUAAAUUAAGUCAGUUGUAAUGUGCAAUAAAAGGGGCGACUUUUGACGGUGUUUUCGUCGUCCAAGUAUUGCGGCGGUAAUAACGAUGCCGCCUGCGUUAUGGCCGAUCAGGGCAAGUUGAGGAUAUUGAGGCCAGAAACCGAUUAGAAAAUCAGUAGUAGUACCGUGUAAACGUUGUCAAAAAAUUAAGUUCCUGGUAAAAGCUUGUGGUGUAAAUUAAGUCAGUUGUAAUGUGAGUGUAAUGUGACUUAUUUAUGUAAUGGAUUUUGCUACAGAGCUUCAAUAGGCACAAUUAAAUUUAUUUAUAUAUUUGUAA
Anthonomus grandis grandis is the source of this 2810-nucleotide RNA transcript. RefSeq lists it as uncharacterized. The transcript has 13 exons. Lineage: Eukaryota; Metazoa; Arthropoda; Insecta; Coleoptera; Curculionidae. The record is from RefSeq and is a predicted model, not a curated record.